This 174-nucleotide non-coding RNA is filed under the name human gut metagenome. The record is from RNAcentral.
GGUUGCGCUUGACGCGCAUUAAUAGGGAACGCGGUGCAAAUCCGCGGCAGCCCCCGCUACUGUAAGAAGGACGAACGCUUUUUCGGGAAUAUCCCGCGUCACUGGAUGCCGUGUUCCGCAUCCGGGAAGGCGAAGCCAGUAGGAGGAUUUCAAGCCAGGAGACCUGCCGCCCGU